This 253-nucleotide ribosomal RNA is filed under the name uncultured prokaryote. Its description in RNAcentral is "partial 16S ribosomal RNA". It matches the Rfam family "Bacterial small subunit ribosomal RNA", at positions 524 to 776 of the family's 1533-position model. The record is from RNAcentral.
UACGUAGGGGGCCAGCGUUGCUCGGAAUUACUGGGCGUAAAGGGUGCGUAGGCGGCUGGGUAAGUCUGACGUGAAAUCUCCGGGCCUAACCCGGAAACUGCGUUGGAUACUAUCCAGCUAGAGGAAUGGAGGGGAGACUGGAAUACUUGGUGUAGCAGUGAAAUGCGUAGAUAUCAAGUGGAACACCAGUGGCGAAGGCGAGUCUCUGGACAUUUCCUGACGCUGAGGCACGAAAGCCAGGGGAGCAAACGGG